Molecule: long non-coding RNA, 2436 nt
Organism: Cajanus cajan (pigeon pea)
Lineage: Eukaryota; Viridiplantae; Streptophyta; Magnoliopsida; Fabales; Fabaceae
Source: RefSeq, a predicted model, not a curated record
AGCAACAUGUGAAGGGAGAGAAGAGAGAGAGUGUGGCAUUUGGAGCACGGAUACGCAAUGUGAGAAGAAAACAGUGAGAAGAAAGUGAAAUCCCUAAUCCCAAUUUUUCUCCUCCGCCGAAUGUGAUGCUGUGAAUGAUUAUCCUUGCAGGUUUCUUUUGUUUUCCGCCAUUAACUAUUAUAAGUCUGUGUUGUUCCUGCCAUCAAAAUUCAAAUAAUUAUUAUAAAAUGUGAUGUUGCGACUGUGUUGUUUUUGUUCCCUGAUUCAAAUAAUUUUACUCGAAUGUCGAUUCCCAAUUCGCAAAUGUGAGUGAUGAUGCUAAUGUUUAUGCUUGCAAGUUUCUUUUUGUUUUCCGCCAUUAAUUAUUAUAAAUUUGUGUUGUUCCCUGCCAUCAAAAUUCAAAUAAUUAUUAUAAAAUGUGAUUUUGCGAAUGUGUUGUUUUUGUUCCUUGAUUCAAAUAAUUUUAAUUGAAAUAGAUUAUUGGUUUGUUUUAUUAUUGUUCCUGUUACACAAGAUUGGUACCUACCAUGCAUCACUGAACAACGAGUAAAUUAUUAGUCAAGCUAGAGUGUGUACGAUUUAUGAAUCAAGUGCUGAGAAGUGUUAGGUCGAUAACUAGUUGAGACCCAUUGUUUUCUGUUUAAUUACCAAUAAUAUAUAUGAUGUAAAAAACCAUGAUUGUGAAUUAUAGCCAAUUGUAUUUGCAUUAACUACAUUUUUCUACCGUUUUCUGUAAUUUUUGUAAUAAUCUCAUUAAUCCGCUGUCAAGUGUCCCAAAGUACAACUUAAGGAAUCAGUAAAUCGAAAAAAAUUAUUAGAAAGUGAGUCCAUUGAAUAUCAUCAAUUCAUCAUGUAAGAGUGUACUUCUUUUGCAGGUAGGAAGAGUGAUAUUUUAGUUUUUUUAAUAUAAUAUCAAUUACAUUUUUCAUUUAAAUUUUAAUAAUAGAUUUUAGAAGAUUGUCGUGUUAUCUCCUUUUAAACAAAGACCAAUAAAGACAUUGUUUUUAUAAAAUUAUUUUAAAAAAAUUCAUUUAUUUGUUAACUUUAUUGGUCUUCAAAAAAUACUUAUCCUCUAUUCUAUUCUCAUUUAUAAGAAGAAAAAAAAUGGAUUUCUCACAUAUUAAGGCACAGCUAAUACUAAAGAGUCCUGUAUAAUUAAUUUUAAUUAAGUAUAAAAUUCAACCUACCAAUGCCUCCUGGUACAGAAACAGCCUUGUUCUCAAGGUCAGAAUGAAAAAACUGUCACUUUCCAGAUAAGGUUUGGAUUUUGUUUCACCAAUUCAAUCCCCUUGAAAUCUCCUUACUUGAACAUGUUUUAAUGCAGGUUGGAAAAGCGUAAUUUGAGCUAGUUGAUCAUUUGGAAAAGCGUAAUUUGGAAAAGCCUUGUUCUGGGCUCCUAGGCUAAUGUUACACCUAGAAUAUGUUUGAGCCUAUUUUUUCUCUUAUACGUAGCUACAGGCUAAAAAUUCAGGGAAGAAGCUAAUAAACCAUGUAUUGCUAAAAUGAAUACUUUUUUUGUUGGUUGUCAUCUACAAAAUUACAUAGGAAACCUGGAUGUUGAUGUGUGGCACCUAGAAUAUCCUUGUAUUUCUUUAGCUUCUUCCUCCCACUUCAAGUUUAAAAUUUUAAAUGCUUACUUGCAUUACAAACUGACUUAUUUCUGGUGCAACAUUUAAAGGAAGAUAUGAAAUUGAGUUACCUGGCUUAGGAACUGAUUUCAACUGAUCGCUUAGCUCCUCAAUCUUGGUAGUGUUACGUUGAACUUCAUUUUAAUUCUGUGUAAAAUUUUCUCUUUUCAACUGACAUUUCUUCUUAGAGGUCUUUUUUAUGUACUAUAUUUUUUUCCAGAUGGCUUAAAAUUGCAUCAUUUUGUGUGUGGUGUGUGCAUGUGUUCACAUACACUCUGACCUAAACUGUCUCAUGUUUCCAAAACGUGUACAUUUUUCAACUGUCUCAUGUCUCAUUGGCAACUUAUAGUUAUCUGUCCUAUGGAGAAUAGAUCUUUAUGCUUUUGUUAAAUGUAUAAACCUCCCCCUGCAGACUUCAAACAGUUAUUAGAUAAGACCAUGGAAGGAUAUCAUAUACUUAGGGGUUCAAAGUCGAAGAAAAAAGUGUAGUGGUUAUUUGUUAAAUCUCAUAAACAAAUAGGAAACUAUGAGUGCAAAUACUAUGUAAUGAAGGCAAUGCAUACUAUUGUUAAUUCACAAAUAGUAUCUGGGUGGACUGAAAUAUUUAUAGAUCGAUCACCAUUGUCAUCAGAAGACAUCAACAUCAUUAGGGAGCAAUGGACUACAUUUUUCAUUAAAACACUAACUAGUUAGGACUUAUUCUUUAUGAAAUACUUAUUAUGUACUUAUUGUGUAUACAUUAUUGUAUUGAAUAAUGUUUCCAAAAAUUUCUCUUGUAUUUUGUAUGUAUUGUGGACUAUUGAAAAUA